RNAcentral lists this ribosomal RNA (431 nucleotides) under uncultured Rhizobium sp. RNAcentral describes it as "bacterial SSU rRNA". It matches the Rfam family "Bacterial small subunit ribosomal RNA", at positions 29 to 507 of the family's 1533-position model. Lineage: Bacteria; Pseudomonadati; Pseudomonadota; Alphaproteobacteria; Hyphomicrobiales; Rhizobiaceae. The record is from RNAcentral.
AACGAACGCUGGCGGCAGGCUUAACACAUGCAAGUCGAGCGCCCCGCAAGGGGAGCGGCAGACGGGUGAGUAACGCGUGGGAACGUACCCUUUACUACGGAAUAACGCAGGGAAACUUGUGCUAAUACCGUAUGUGCCCUUCGGGGGAAAGAUUUAUCGGUAAGGGAUCGGCCCGCGUUGGAUUAGCUAGUUGGUGGGGUAAAGGCCUACCAAGGCGACGAUCCAUAGCUGGUCUGAGAGGAUGAUCAGCCACAUUGGGACUGAGACACGGCCCAAACUCCUACGGGAGGCAGCAGUGGGGAAUAUUGGACAAUGGGCGCAAGCCUGAUCCAGCCAUGCCGCGUGAGUGAUGAAGGCCCUAGGGUUGUAAAGCUCUUUCACCGGAGAAGAUAAUGACGGUAUCCGGAGAAGAAGCCCCGGCUAACUUCGUG